Long non-coding RNA from Triplophysa rosa, 364 nucleotides. RefSeq lists it as uncharacterized. The transcript has 3 exons. NCBI's taxonomy places the organism in Eukaryota, Metazoa, Chordata, Actinopteri, Cypriniformes, Nemacheilidae. The record is from RefSeq and is a predicted model, not a curated record.
AUACUUACGCGGUAGCGUAGUUGCACACAAAUAUGAUUCCAGGAUUAGAGGAAAAGCUUGUGUCAACCACACCGUUUGGACAUGCUUGUGCAGCACAGCCGACCUUGAGUAAAUGUGGGGUGCAUGCGGCCCGGCUGCUGAAGAUGAGGGUUAUGUUUGAAGAUGCAGUUACUCGCCCACGCCCGAGCACUUAUCGCCAGAGCCUCAUCCCACGUCUGCAAAAACAAGAGCCUGAAUCAAUACUACAGCCACAGUUCAUACAGUUCCCGUGAGUGCCAAGAGGAGGAGCUGUUAAUUCUGAAUGAACGUCAUAUGCCCACCCCCAACUAGAGAUUACGCCAGCUACAUCGGAAAAUCCCGUGCC